CCUACGUGAGGCAGCAGUGGGGAAUAUUUCACAAUGUGCGAAACCCUGCUGCAGCGACGCCGCGUGAGUGAAGAAGUAAUUCGUUAUGUAAAGCUCUAUCAGCAGGGAAGAAAAGGACGGUACCUGAGUAAGAAGCCCCGGCUAACUACGUGCCAGCAGCCGCGGUAAUACGUAGGGGGCAAGCGUUAUCCGGAUUUACUGGGUGUAAAGGGAGCGGAGACGGCAGUGCAAGUCUGGAGUGAAAGGCGGGGGCUCAACCCCCGGACUGCUCUGGAAACUGUACGGCUGGAGUGCAGGAGAGGUAAGUGGAAUUCCUAGUGUAGCGGUGAAAUGCGUAGAUAUUAGGAGGAACACCAGUGGCGAAGGCGGCUUACUGGACUGUAACUGACGUUGAGGCUCGAAAGCGUGGGGAGCAAACAGGAUUAGAUACCCUUGUAGUC
This 440-nucleotide ribosomal RNA is filed under the name uncultured bacterium. RNAcentral describes it as "partial 16S ribosomal RNA". It matches the Rfam family "Bacterial small subunit ribosomal RNA", at positions 338 to 795 of the family's 1533-position model. The record is from RNAcentral.